Molecule: transfer RNA, 72 nt
Filed under: Marmota monax (woodchuck)
Lineage: Eukaryota; Metazoa; Chordata; Mammalia; Rodentia; Sciuridae
Rfam family: tRNA
About the family: Transfer RNA (tRNA) molecules are approximately 80 nucleotides in length. Their secondary structure includes four short double-helical elements and three loops (D, anti-codon, and T loops). Further hydrogen bonds mediate the characteristic L-shaped molecular structure. tRNAs have two regions of fundamental functional importance: the anti-codon, which is responsible for specific mRNA codon recognition, and the 3' end, to which the tRNAs corresponding amino acid is attached (by aminoacyl-tRNA synthetases). tRNAs cope with the degeneracy of the genetic code in two manners: having more than one tRNA (with a specific anti-codon) for a particular amino acid; and 'wobble' base-pairing, i.e. permitting non-standard base-pairing at the 3rd anti-codon position.
Source: Rfam by way of RNAcentral
GGGGAUAUGGCUCAGUGAUAGAGCAUUUGCCUAGCAUGCUUCAGGUCCUGGGUUUGAUCCCCAGCAUUCCCA